GCGCGAGUGGCGAAAUGGCAGACGCGCCAGCCUUAGGAGCUGGUGCCCGUAAGGGUGUAAGGGUUCGAAUCCCUUCUCGCGCA
This 83-nucleotide transfer RNA is filed under the name Chloroflexota bacterium. RNAcentral describes it as "tRNA-Leu". It matches the Rfam family "tRNA". Rfam says of the family: Transfer RNA (tRNA) molecules are approximately 80 nucleotides in length. Their secondary structure includes four short double-helical elements and three loops (D, anti-codon, and T loops). The record is from RNAcentral. Lineage: Bacteria; Bacillati; Chloroflexota.